This 213-nucleotide ribosomal RNA is filed under the name uncultured bacterium. RNAcentral describes it as "partial 16S ribosomal RNA". It matches the Rfam family "Bacterial small subunit ribosomal RNA", at positions 28 to 240 of the family's 1533-position model. The record is from RNAcentral.
GACGAACGCUGGCGGCGUGCUUAACACAUGCAAGUCGAGCGGUAAGGCCCUUUCGGGGGUACACGGAGCGGCGAACGGGUGAGUAACACGUGGGUGACCUGCCCUUAGCUCUGGGAUAAGCCUGGGAAACUGGGUCGUAAUACCGGAUAUGACUCCAUGACGCAUGUUGUGGGGUGGAAAGCCUUGUGCGGCUAGGGAUGGGCCCGCGGCCUA